UCAGCCCACUGAUUGCUUGAUGCCGCCGCCGCCGGCGUCGCUCACCGCCGGGGCCGCCGCGAUCGCCCUCCCCCGACCUCGCCAACACCCUGCGGCGGCGCCGGCGGAGCGUCUUCAGCCGACCGGGUGGGAUCAGCCGGCUGGGGCGCCGCGUGCUCCGCCGACGGCUCUCCCCCGCUUCCUCCUCGGUGACCCUCCUCCCCUUCCUCACCAGUCUCCUCGCAGCCCCAAACCCUCUCUACGUCUCGCUCAACGACGCGCAAUCUCCGUAAAGGUUGCUUCGCCAGGCGUUGCCUCAGAAAUCUUCAUCAGCGUUUGGAUGCAAAAGCAUGCUUCUGUGCAAACCUUCCCCCCCGUUCAUGGGUCCUCAGAUCAUGAAUUAGGCCAUGGAUGCACCGAUUCAUACAUUGUCGACAAAUAUGCCGGAUGAGGGAAGCCUUAAUCUUGAAAGCAGGAACAUGUUGUCUGCAUGCAAUUGGUACGAAGGGCUAGCCUUGUUUGAACCAGAUAAUUCUGGGCAUCAAAUUCUGAAGUCGAGGCUUCACUUGUUUUUGGUGUCAGUAUUAGAGUUUGUGGAUGGGGAGCUUUGGCUACUAAACCAUCAAGCCAGCUCCAUUGAGCAUUGUUGGUGUCAUAUUGCUAUAGUUGUGAUGUUCGUUUCUUGGAACAAUGAUUAUGAUUGGUGUCUAAAACGUGGCUUGGAAUGCAGAUCUGGAAGCUGGAAUGCUACAAUCCGAUAGGAUUUCUGGCCGGGACUAUGCAAUGACUGGUUAACAGAUAAGUACAAAGAACGAUAAGAAUUCCCAGUAGGAUGGAGCUGCGACGAAGUAACUGAUGAUCAGAAUUUGGAUAAGGAAAUUGCGUGUGGAAAUCUGCUACCAGGCCGGAUGGAGCUGCAUCCUUGCAUAAACCAGAUGUGUUAUCCAAGAUCAACACAUCCACAUGUGUAUAUUCUUUGCCUUGCUGACCCUAUCAUUCAUACUUGGGCAUGUGCUGCUACAUUAAAAAAAAUGGGUGUAGUUGUUGUGUACUGGUGCAUGGGAUAAGAGGUCUUAGGUGUUGAAAUCUGUCGUCAGAGCAGUCUAAAGUGGAUCUAGCCGUAAUAGAUGUGAUCUGUUGUCAAUAUUGCAUAAUAGAGUUUUACUCCCAUCCUUCCUUUUGUACCUCGAGGUACCAAAUCGUUUCUCACCAU
Oryza brachyantha (malo sina) is the source of this 1192-nucleotide RNA transcript. RefSeq lists it as uncharacterized. The transcript has 5 exons. The record is from RefSeq and is a predicted model, not a curated record. NCBI's taxonomy places the organism in Eukaryota, Viridiplantae, Streptophyta, Magnoliopsida, Poales, Poaceae.